UGUCGCGGUGUCGCACCGGCGCUGUCGCGGUGCCGCACCGGCGCUGUCGCGGUGUCGCAGCGGCGGGCGCGGCCCAAGGCGGGCGAGUCGCGGCCGCUGCGGGUCCGGAGGAGGGUCCAGGGAGAGCCGGGGAGGGCUGAGGGACACCCCCGGGAUGUGCCCCGCUGGGCCCGGACGCGGAGGGGUCCAAGGGAUGGCGGGAGGGAGAUGCAGGGUUCCCCUGGGGGAUGCACCCCUGUGUACUCGCGGAUACGGGGGACCCCCGGCAGGACUCACCCUGGAUGUGGGGGGAUGCAGGAGACCCCCGGAGGAUGUUCCCUGUGUACCGGUGGGAUGUGGGGCACACCCAGUGGUUACACCCCUGUAUAUGAAGGGAUUUGGGGGUGCAGCCCUCGGUGGCUGGAGAGAUGUGGGGGAUUCUCAGAGCAGGGGAUCCCACUGCAGCAGGGUAUCCGUGGGAGAGCUCACUCCAGAGAACUCUGGGGCCCAUGGUGGAGGGGAAUGGGAUGGGAAUGGGGUGGGUGGUGCACCCCAGGGCACCUGGGGGAGGUGGGAGGCCAGAGCAGCGAUGUCCUGCUGGUCCUGGAAGGGUGGGGGGUCCUGGCCCCACCACACAAUGAGAGGCUGGGGGUCCUGCCUGGUUCUUUCUGCUGAGCCCCAAAGUGGGGAUGGAGAAAGAGGAGCUGGGAUGGGGGUGCGGGGGGCCGUGUGUGGGGUGCCAUGGCCCAGGGUACCUACAGGGUGUGUGAUUUGGGGUGCCAUGGCCCAGGGUACCUACAGGGUGUGUGAUUUGGGGUGCCAUGGCCCAGGGUACCUACAGGGUGUGUGAUUUGGGGUGCCAUGGCCCAGGGCAGGCCCAGGCUGAGCAUUCAGGGUGCUGUGCCCUGCGACGUGGAGUGUGUGGUUCGGGUGACGCAGGCACCUGCCCACACCAGCACUUCCUGCCCUGGCGCUGCCUCACCUGUGGGCACAGGGCCAGGGCAGGGCUGUGGAACCAGCCUGGGAGCUGCUGGCCUGGAAACCUGGGAAUGGGACCUGUUUUGCUACUUGACCUGUGUUGGGAAAGCAGGGAGUUGCUCCAGAGCAGACCUGUGGAGUUUUCUGUAUGAAUUCUGGAUUUUUUCCCCUCCAAAAGCUGUUGUGGCUCAGACUGUGGUAACAGUAGAGUCACUGUAUAGGUUUAAUUUUCCUGUUCCUUCCUGUGGAAGUAGUUCCUGAAGGGGCUGGUUUUGUGCAGGUCUGAGCUGAAGAACAACACUGAAAAAAACCCAAACUGAAUGAAACAUCCCCCCUAGUCUGUGUAAUUAUUAAAAAGAAUUACUUUUAACAAGCUUUUGUUUAAUUUUGUUGUCCCUUCCAGUGGACCUGGUUGAUGAAGGGGCUGUUCUAGCAUCUGUCUGAGCUGAAGAACCACAACACUGAAAAAAACCCAAACCAAACUGAACAAACCCCCCUAGUCCUUUUUUUUUUUAAUUGUUAUUUUUAACAAGAACAUCCUGACUAACUCCUUCUGCUCUGCCUGCAUCCCUUGAGUCACAGCACCACGAGAUUGCCAAGCCCUUCCUUCAGUGCUUUUCCAUUAAACCCUACAAGCUGCUCCUGAGUGAAACCUUGAAUCACAAAAGGAGAAACCUUGAAUCACAAAAGGAGAAACCUUGAAUCACAAAAGGAGAAACCUUGAAUCACAAAAGGAGAAUUUCUCUGUCCCUGCCUCCCGUGGGUCUCCAGGCUUUGCCCACGGCUGCCAUGAGCAGUGUGGUCAUUCUGAGCUGCCCUCCUGGGUGACAGGCUUGGGGUGACCAGCAGAAGGCUGCCCCAGCCAAAGAAAGCCCUGGAGCCUUGGACAGUCCUUAGACACCCCCUGGGGACACCCAACGUCUGGUACCAAUCCAAAGCCACCCGCCAGGCAGGAAGGCCACCAGCUCCCCAGGUUGUGGGGAUGUGCUGGAUCCGUGCUGAUUAACCUGCCUGCUCGUUAAUUUGGCAGCAGAGAAACAGCGACUGCUCGGCAUCGCUUUGGGCUGACUCACUCUUGGCGUACCUGGGACUGCCGGGGUGAAGGCGGCUGGCAGGUGUGGUGGUGGGGUGGUGUAGUUGUGUUGUUGUUGUUGGGGUGGUGUAACUGGGGUGGUGUAGUUGGGUCAUUGUUGUUGGGGUGAUAUAGUUGGGGUGAUGUAAUUGAGCUGAUGUUUGGUUUUGAAAGCAAAACCAGUGAGAGACUCCAAGUCAGAAAUACAGUUUAUUA
This is a non-coding RNA of Taeniopygia guttata (zebra finch), 2245 nucleotides long. NCBI's taxonomy places the organism in Eukaryota, Metazoa, Chordata, Aves, Passeriformes, Estrildidae. The record is from RefSeq and is a predicted model, not a curated record.